This 276-nucleotide ribosomal RNA is filed under the name uncultured Lachnospiraceae bacterium. Its description in RNAcentral is "partial 16S ribosomal RNA". The stretch from base 38 to 276 matches the Rfam family "Bacterial small subunit ribosomal RNA", at positions 100 to 339 of the family's 1533-position model. The record is from RNAcentral. Lineage: Bacteria; Bacillati; Bacillota; Clostridia; Lachnospirales; Lachnospiraceae.
AUUUCCUUCGGGACUGAUUAUUUUGUGACUGAGUGGCGGACGGGUGAGUAACGCGUGGGUAACCUGCCUUGUACAGGGGGAUAACAGUUGGAAACGGCUGCUAAUACCGCAUAAGCGCACAGUACCGCAUGGUACGGUGUGAAAAACUCCGGUGGUGUGAGAUGGACCCGCGUCUGAUUAGCUAGUUGGCAGGGCAACGGCCUACCAAGGCGACGAUCAGUAGCCGACCUGAGAGGGUGACCGGCCACAUUGGGACUGAGACACGGUCCAGACUCC